Molecule: ribosomal RNA, 388 nt
Filed under: uncultured eukaryote
Lineage: Eukaryota
Description: partial 18S ribosomal RNA
Rfam family: Eukaryotic small subunit ribosomal RNA
Source: RNAcentral
CAAUAGCGUAUAUUAAAGUUGUUGCAGUUAAAAAGCUCGUAGUUGGAUUUCUGAUCGAGACAUCAGGUCGGGUCCGAGAGGAUCAUGUACUUUGAUUUUGUUUUGAUCAUCCUUGGGGAGAGCAUUUCUGGCAUUCAGUUGUCGGGAUUGGGAUCCUCAUCGUUUACUGUGAAAAAAUUAGAGUGUUCAAAGCAGGCCUCGGCCUCUGAAUACAUUAGCAUGGAAUAAUAAGAUAGGACUUUGGUGGUCUAUUUUGUUGGUUUGCACGCCAAAGUAAUGAUUAAUAGGGAUAGUUGGGGGUAUUCGUAUUCAAUUGUCAGAGGUGAAGUUCUUGGAUUUAUGGAAGACGAACUACUGCGAAAGCAUUUACCAAGGAUGUUUUCAUUAA